UACGAAGGGGGCUAGCGUUGUUCGGAUUUACUGGGCGUAAAGCGCACGUAGGCGGAUUGUUAAGUCAGGGGUGAAAUCCUGGAGCUCAACUCCAGAACUGCCUUUGAUACUGGCAAUCUUGAGUCCGGAAGAGGUGAGUGGAACUCCUAGUGUAGAGGUGGAAUUCGUAGAUAUUAGGAAGAACACCAGUGGCGAAGGCGGCUCACUGGUCCGGUACUGACGCUGAGGUGCGAAAGCGUGGGGAGCGAACAGG
RNAcentral lists this ribosomal RNA (253 nucleotides) under uncultured bacterium. RNAcentral's name for it is "partial 16S ribosomal RNA". It matches the Rfam family "Bacterial small subunit ribosomal RNA", at positions 524 to 776 of the family's 1533-position model. The record is from RNAcentral.